Molecule: long non-coding RNA, 249 nt
Filed under: Nicotiana benthamiana
Lineage: Eukaryota; Viridiplantae; Streptophyta; Magnoliopsida; Solanales; Solanaceae
Description: long non-coding RNA (NBEN_LNC026364)
Source: RNAcentral
GACAAACUUAUCAAGCGCUUCCAUUAGGACCAUAUCCGAUUUUGUAGCAUUAGCUCGCCUCUCGGAACGAGGUAAGGGUACUUUAUUGACCAGUUCAAAGAGAAGAUAAUACUCAUGAAGCUAUACCUUCUUAUGCACCUCUUCCCCAUGGUGGUAGCUUGCUCUUUCAUGAUAGCUCUCCUAAAGUUAACCCCGCAGACACCCUUAACUGAGGACAUACCUUCACACGGAAUUCUGAGAACCUUUCCC